Molecule: unclassified non-coding RNA, 232 nt
Filed under: air metagenome
Description: partial contains small subunit ribosomal RNA, internal transcribed spacer 1, and 5.8S ribosomal RNA
Rfam family: Eukaryotic small subunit ribosomal RNA (bases 1-46)
Source: RNAcentral
AAGUCGUAACAAGGUUUCCGUAGGUGAACCUGCGGAAGGAUCAUUAAUGAUUCAAAAGGAUGUGCUGGCAACUUACAUUUGCAUGUGCACUCCGACUCUCACCCACCUGUGCACAUCUUGUAGACACGGAUAGUAAUUCUAUCUUUUGUCUAUGAUUUUUAUACACCCUGUUAAAGUAAAUUGAAUGAUUUAUAAAUUAAUACAACUUUCAACAAUGGAUCUCUUGGUUCUC